RNAcentral lists this ribosomal RNA (480 nucleotides) under uncultured bacterium. RNAcentral's name for it is "SSU rRNA". It matches the Rfam family "Bacterial small subunit ribosomal RNA", at positions 26 to 521 of the family's 1533-position model. The record is from RNAcentral.
AGGACGAACGCUGGCGGCGUGCUUAACACAUGCAAGUCGAACGGAAAGGCCCUUUCGGGGGUGCUCGAGUGGCGAACGGGUGAGUAACACGUGGGUGAUCUGCCCUGCACUUUGGGAUAAGCCUGGGAAACUGGGUCUAAUACCGGAUAGGACUACGGCCUGCAUGGGUUGUGGUGGAAAGCUUUUGCGGUGUGGGAUGGGCCCGCGGCCUAUCAGCUUGUUGGUGGGGUGAUGGCCUACCAAGGCGACGACGGGUAGCCGGCCUGAGAGGGUGUCCGGCCACACUGGGACUGAGAUACGGCCCAGACUCCUACGGGAGGCAGCAGUGGGGAAUAUUGCACAAUGGGCGCAAGCCUGAUGCAGCGACGCCGCGUGAGGGAUGACGGCCUUCGGGUUGUAAACCUCUUUCAGCAUCGACGAAGCGCAAGUGACGGUAGAUGCAGAAGAAGCACCGGCCAACUACGCGCCAGCAGCCGCGGU